UACGUAGGGUGCGAGCGUUAAUCGGAAUUACUGGGCGUAAAGCGUGUGCAGGCGGUUUGUUAAGACAGGUGUGAAAUCCCCGGGCUUAACCUGGGAAUUGCGCUUGUUACUGGCAAGCUAGAGUGCGUCAGAGGGAGGUGGAAGUUCCACGUGUAGCAGUGAAAUGCGUAGAGAUGUGGAGGAACACCGAUGGCGAAGGCAGCCUCCGUGGAUGACACUGAC
This 222-nucleotide ribosomal RNA is filed under the name uncultured bacterium. Its description in RNAcentral is "partial 16S ribosomal RNA". It matches the Rfam family "Bacterial small subunit ribosomal RNA", at positions 524 to 744 of the family's 1533-position model. The record is from RNAcentral.